RNAcentral lists this long non-coding RNA (366 nucleotides) under Brassica napus (rape). RNAcentral's name for it is "long non-coding RNA (BNAP_LNC001057)". Lineage: Eukaryota; Viridiplantae; Streptophyta; Magnoliopsida; Brassicales; Brassicaceae. The record is from RNAcentral.
AAAGCUUGGAACGACGCAGAGUACUUCUACAAAGGCUUCAAGGUUUGGAUGACAGGACAGAGCGUGAGCUCUGCAGUUUUGCUAACCGAUGUUCUUCGUGGAGUUUUUUAGCUAAUGGAAGUACCUGAAGAGAGUGAAGACUAGAUUCAUUGAUCUUUAUUUGUCUUAAGAUUGCAAUAGGUUUUGGUUCUCCAUUUAAGUAAACUGCAAAUAAAAGAAAAACCAUAGUAGCAUUUUUAUGACCUUAAAGUUAAAGAGUCCAUGAGAUGAACAGAUUGCUGUUUUAUCAAACCAUAUUAUUCUGCAGAGUCUUGUCUAUAUCUAUAGUGAUUAGUGAAUCUUGCUGUCAAUGACUGUUAAACUUAG